UCAAACUAAAAAUUAAAACCCAAACUCCAAAAUGGCUACCCACAAAAUGUGUGUCAUCCUUGGGCUUGUUGCUCUUGCACAUGCAGCAUAUUCUGCAGCUCAACAUCGCACAUACCUGAGACUGACUGAGCAGGAUUUCAGCAUGCUCCCUCAUGAUAUAUUUCUGCAGUGCAUAUUUGGGCUCCUCCUGACUUGCUAUGGUGUGGUCAAUGUUGCUGGGAACUUCAAGGAAAUCAAAGCCAGUGCAGAGCAGGACACAAAGACUUGGGAGAUGCUGAGCAAUCGCCAGGGAUUCAACAUUUUCCACCAUCGCGGGAAAGCAUUAUUCAACGAAACAUGAAUCAUUUUUACUCUGUCAUUUGAUCAUUCCAAUUCAUCAUCUUCUCAUUUCAUCCAAACUUGUCUGUAAUACCUAGAUCCAUAUUUUAGAGAUGAUUUCUCAUUGUUCCUUGUUCAUUAUUUUAAUUGUGUAUUUGCUUGUGUAAAGCACCAAGUUGAUCCCCCUGAUGGCCUGAGUGGGUCAGUGGGAGGUGUGGUGUAUUGACUGAAAAGUGGGUCAGUGGGAGGUGUGGUGUACUGACUGAAAAGUGGGUCAGUGGGAGGUGUGGUGUACUGACUGAAAAGUGGGUCAGUGGGAGGUGUAGUGUACUGACUGAAAAGUGGGACAGGGGAGGUGUAGUGUAUUGACUGAAAAGUGGGACAGGGGACGUCCAAGUAACGGCACGUUUCCAACUUGUGCACUGGUGUUGUCUUCUGUUUCUUCUUUUUUUUUUACUUCAGUGUUUCUGUUGUAAUAGAUCUUUUCCCUGGUGAAAUGUGACCAUUAUGGCAUCGAGUUGCUUAAUACAGCUCUUCAUUGUUAUCCUUUAUCUCUUUUCUGUUGCCGAGAAAUUGACCUUUCCUUAACAUUAUCCCUUAGAUCUGACUAUGGGGGGGUUUUCAUGCUCUGCUCUGCCAAUUUGGUAUAAAUCAAAGUAGUUGUUAUGAGUUGGAUGUCCCUCGGGUGAAAUUAAGUUUAUGUGUUAGAAUUAACACUGAACCCUUUCCGUAUAUCAAUGAUUGUAGUCUCUGCCAAAAUAAAUUUUUCAAGGCAUUGCUUGCG
Molecule: unclassified non-coding RNA, 1102 nt
Filed under: Aplysia californica (California sea hare)
Lineage: Eukaryota; Metazoa; Mollusca; Gastropoda; Aplysiida; Aplysiidae
Description: membrane magnesium transporter 1, transcript variant X1
Source: RNAcentral